UUCCUGGUAGUCCAGUGGUUAAGACUCCACACUCCCAAUGAAGAGGGCCUGGGUUUGAUCCCUGGUCAGGAAA
This 73-nucleotide transfer RNA is filed under the name Ovis aries (sheep). It matches the Rfam family "tRNA". From Rfam's summary of the family: Transfer RNA (tRNA) molecules are approximately 80 nucleotides in length. Their secondary structure includes four short double-helical elements and three loops (D, anti-codon, and T loops). Further hydrogen bonds mediate the characteristic L-shaped molecular structure. tRNAs have two regions of fundamental functional importance: the anti-codon, which is responsible for specific mRNA codon recognition, and the 3' end, to which the tRNAs corresponding amino acid is attached (by aminoacyl-tRNA synthetases). tRNAs cope with the degeneracy of the genetic code in two manners: having more than one tRNA (with a specific anti-codon) for a particular amino acid; and 'wobble' base-pairing, i.e. permitting non-standard base-pairing at the 3rd anti-codon position. The record is from Rfam by way of RNAcentral. Lineage: Eukaryota; Metazoa; Chordata; Mammalia; Artiodactyla; Bovidae.